This 76-nucleotide transfer RNA is filed under the name Paracoccaceae bacterium. RNAcentral's name for it is "Rhodobacteraceae bacterium tRNA-Val". It matches the Rfam family "tRNA". From Rfam's summary of the family: Transfer RNA (tRNA) molecules are approximately 80 nucleotides in length. Their secondary structure includes four short double-helical elements and three loops (D, anti-codon, and T loops). Lineage: Bacteria; Pseudomonadati; Pseudomonadota; Alphaproteobacteria; Rhodobacterales; Paracoccaceae. The record is from RNAcentral.
GGGCCGGUAGCUCAGUUGGUAGAGCGUUCCGUUUACACCGGAAUUGUCGGGGGUUCGAGUCCCUCCCGGCCCACCA